RNAcentral lists this ribosomal RNA (554 nucleotides) under uncultured bacterium. RNAcentral's name for it is "partial 16S ribosomal RNA". It matches the Rfam family "Bacterial small subunit ribosomal RNA", at positions 355 to 900 of the family's 1533-position model. The record is from RNAcentral.
UAGGGAAUCUUCCACAAUGGACGCAAGUCUGAUGGAGCAACGCCGCGUGAGUGAAGAAGGUUUUCGGAUCGUAAAGCUCUGUUGUUGGUGAAGAAGGAUAGAGGUAGUAACUGGCCUUUAUUUGACGGUAAUCAACCAGAAAGUCACGGCUAACUACGUGCCAGCAGCCGCGGUAAUCGUAGGUGGCAAGCGUUGUCCGGAUUUAUUGGGCGUAAAGCGAGCGCAGGCGGAAGAAUAAGUCUGAUGUGAAAGCCCUCGGCUUAACCGAGGAAUUGCAUCGGAAACUGUUUUCUUGAGUGCAGAAGAGGAGAGUAGAACUCCAUGUGUAGCGGUGGAAUGCGUAGAUAUAUGGAAGAAUACCAGUGGCGAAGGCGGCUGUCUGGUCUGCAACUGACGCUGAGGCUCGAAAGCAUGGGUAGCGAACAGGAUUAGAUACCCUUGGUAGUCCAUGCCGUAAACGAUGAGUGCUAAGUGUUGGGAGGCUUCCGCCUCUCAGUGCUGCAGCUAACGCAUUAAGCACUCCGCCUGGGGGAGUACGACCGCAAGGUUGAAAC